This 440-nucleotide ribosomal RNA is filed under the name uncultured bacterium. RNAcentral describes it as "partial 16S ribosomal RNA". It matches the Rfam family "Bacterial small subunit ribosomal RNA", at positions 338 to 795 of the family's 1533-position model. The record is from RNAcentral.
CCUACGGGAGGCAGCAGUGGGGAAUAUUGCACAAUGGGGGAAACCCUGAUGCAGCGACGCCGCGUGAGUGAAGAAGUCAUUCGGUACGUAAAGCUCUAUCAGCAGGGAAGAAAAUGACGGUACCUGAGUAACAAGCCCCGGCUAACUACGUGCCAGCAGCAGCGGUAAUACGGAGGGUGCCAGCGUUAUCCGGAUUUACUGGGUGUAAAGGGAGCGCAGGCGGUAGGGCAAGCCUGUGGUGAAAGCCCGCGGCCCAACCGCGGGACUGCAUUGGAAACUACCGGGCUGGAGUGCCGGAGAGGUAGGCGGAAUUCCUGGUGUAGCGGUGAAAUGCGUAGAUAUUAGGAGGAACACCAGUGGCGAAGGCGGCCUACUGGACGGUAACUGACGCUGAGGCUCGAAAGCGUGGGGAGCAAACAGGAUUAGAUACCCCUGUAGUC